GGGUUGUGAGGUUAAGCGACUAAGCGUACACGGUGGAUGCCCUGGCAGUCAGAGGCGAUGAAGGACGUGCUAAUCUGCGAUAAGCGUCGGUAAGGUGAUAUGAACCGUUAUAACCGGCGAUUUCCGAAUGGGGAAACCCAGUGUGAUUCGUCACACUAUCAUUAACUGAAUCCAUAGGUUAAUGAGGCGAACCGGGGGAACUGAAACAUCUAAGUACCCCGAGGAAAAGAAAUCAACCGAGAUUCCCCCAGUAGCGGCGAGCGAACGGGGAGCAGCCCAGAGCCUGAAUCAGUGUGUGUGUUAGUGGAAGCGUCUGGAAAGGCGCGCGAUACAGGGUGACAGCCCCGUACACAAAAAUGCACAUGCUGUGAGCUCGAUGAGUAGGGCGGGACACGUGGUAUCCUGUCUGAAUAUGGGGGGACCAUCCUCCAAGGCUAAAUACUCCUGACUGACCGAUAGUGAACCAGUACCGUGAGGGAAAGGCGAAAAGAACCCCGGCGAGGGGAGUGAAAAAGAACCUGAAACCGUGUACGUACAAGCAGUGGGAGCACAGAGCAAUCUGUGUGACUGCGUACCUUUUGUAUAAUGGGUCAGCGACUUAUAUUCUGUAGCAAGGUUAACCGAAUAGGGGAGCCGAAGGGAAACCGAGUCUUAACUGGGCGUUAAGUUGCAGGGUAUAGACCCGAAACCCGGUGAUCUAGCCAUGGGCAGGUUGAAGGUUGGGUAACACUAACUGGAGGACCGAACCGACUAAUGUUGAAAAAUUAGCGGAUGACUUGUGGCUGGGGGUGAAAGGCCAAUCAAACCGGGAGAUAGCUGGUUCUCCCCGAAAGCUAUUUAGGUAGCGCCUCGUGAAUUCAUCUCCGGGGGUAGAGCACUGUUUCGGCAAGGGGGUCAUCCCGACUUACCAACCCGAUGCAAACUGCGAAUACCGGAGAAUGUUAUCACGGGAGACACACGGCGGGUGCUAACGUCCGUCGUGAAGAGGGAAACAACCCAGACCGCCAGCUAAGGUCCCAAAGUCAUGGUUAAGUGGGAAACGAUGUGGGAAGGCCCAGACAGCCAGGAUGUUGGCUUAGAAGCAGCCAUCAUUUAAAGAAAGCGUAAUAGCUCACUGGUCGAGUCGGCCUGCGCGGAAGAUGUAACGGGGCUAAACCAUGCACCGAAGCUGCGGCAGCGACGCUGAUGCGUUGUUGGGUAGGGGAGCGUUCUGUAAGCCUGCGAAGGUGUGCUGUGAGGCAUGCUGGAGGUAUCAGAAGUGCGAAUGCUGACAUAAGUAACGAUAAAGCGGGUGAAAAGCCCGCUCGCCGGAAGACCAAGGGUUCCUGUCCAACGUUAAUCGGGGCAGGGUGAGUCGACCCCUAAGGCGAGGCCGAAAGGCGUAGUCGAUGGGAAACAGGUUAAUAUUCCUGUACUUGGUGUUACUGCGAAGGGGGGACGGAGAAGGCUAUGUUGGCCGGGCGACGGUUGUCCCGGUUUAAGCGUGUAGGCUGGUUUUCCAGGCAAAUCCGGAAAAUCAAGGCUGAGGCGUGAUGACGAGGCACUACGGUGCUGAAGCAACAAAUGCCCUGCUUCCAGGAAAAGCCUCUAAGCAUCAGGUAACAUCAAAUCGUACCCCAAACCGACACAGGUGGUCAGGUAGAGAAUACCAAGGCGCUUGAGAGAACUCGGGUGAAGGAACUAGGCAAAAUGGUGCCGUAACUUCGGGAGAAGGCACGCUGAUAUGUAGGUGAAGCGACUUGCUCGUGGAGCUGAAAUCAGUCGAAGAUACCAGCUGGCUGCAACUGUUUAUUAAAAACACAGCACUGUGCAAACACGAAAGUGGACGUAUACGGUGUGACGCCUGCCCGGUGCCGGAAGGUUAAUUGAUGGGGUCAGCGCAAGCGAAGCUCUUGAUCGAAGCCCCGGUAAACGGCGGCCGUAACUAUAACGGUCCUAAGGUAGCGAAAUUCCUUGUCGGGUAAGUUCCGACCUGCACGAAUGGCGUAAUGAUGGCCAGGCUGUCUCCACCCGAGACUCAGUGAAAUUGAACUCGCUGUGAAGAUGCAGUGUACCCGCGGCAAGACGGAAAGACCCCGUGAACCUUUACUAUAGCUUGACACUGAACAUUGAGCCUUGAUGUGUAGGAUAGGUGGGAGGCUUUGAAGUGUGGACGCCAGUCUGCAUGGAGCCGACCUUGAAAUACCACCCUUUAAUGUUUGAUGUUCUAACGUGGACCCGUAAUCCGGGUUGCGGACAGUGUCUGGUGGGUAGUUUGACUGGGGCGGUCUCCUCCUAAAGAGUAACGGAGGAGCACGAAGGUUGGCUAAUCCUGGUCGGACAUCAGGAGGUUAGUGCAAUGGCAUAAGCCAGCUUGACUGCGAGCGUGACGGCGCGAGCAGGUGCGAAAGCAGGUCAUAGUGAUCCGGUGGUUCUGAAUGGAAGGGCCAUCGCUCAACGGAUAAAAGGUACUCCGGGGAUAACAGGCUGAUACCGCCCAAGAGUUCAUAUCGACGGCGGUGUUUGGCACCUCGAUGUCGGCUCAUCACAUCCUGGGGCUGAAGUAGGUCCCAAGGGUAUGGCUGUUCGCCAUUUAAAGUGGUACGCGAGCUGGGUUUAGAACGUCGUGAGACAGUUCGGUCCCUAUCUGCCGUGGGCGCUGGAGAAUUGAGGGGGGCUGCUCCUAGUACGAGAGGACCGGAGUGGACGCAUCACUGGUGUUCGGGUUGUCAUGCCAAUGGCACUGCCCGGUAGCUAAAUGCGGAAGAGAUAAGUGCUGAAAGCAUCUAAGCACGAAACUUGCCCCGAGAUGAGUUCUCCCUGACUCCUUGAGAGUCCUGAAGGAACGUUGAAGACGACGACGUUGAUAGGCCGGGUGUGUAAGCGCAGCGAUGCGUUGAGCUAACCGGUACUAAUGAACCGUGAGGCUUAACCUUACAACGCCGAAG
This 2927-nucleotide ribosomal RNA is filed under the name Escherichia coli. RNAcentral describes it as "23S ribosomal RNA". It matches the Rfam family "Bacterial large subunit ribosomal RNA". The record is from RNAcentral. Lineage: Bacteria; Pseudomonadati; Pseudomonadota; Gammaproteobacteria; Enterobacterales; Enterobacteriaceae. RNAcentral also lists the same sequence under 2 other names.